CGUGAACGCUGGCGGUAGGCCUAACACAUGCAAGUCGAACGGCAGCACAGUAAGAGCUUGCUCUUACGGGUGGCGAGUGGCGGACGGGUGAGGAAUACAUCGGAAUCUACUUUUUCGUGGGGGAUAACGUAGGGAAACUUACGCUAAUACCGCAUACGACCUACGGGUGAAAGCAGGGGAUCUUCGGACCUUGCGCGAUUGAAUGAGCCGAUGUCGGAUUAGCUAGUUGGCGGGGUAAAGGCCCACCAAGGCGACGAUCCGUAGCUGGUCUGAGAGGAUGAUCAGCCACACUGGAACUGAGACACGGUCCAGACUCCUACGGGAGGCAGCAGUGGGGAAUAUUGGACAAUGGGCGCAAGCCUGAUCCAGCCAUACCGCGUGGGUGAAGAAGGCCUUCGGGUUGUAAAGCCCUUUUGUUGGGAAAGAAAAGCAGCAGGUUAAGACCCCGCUGUUCUGACGGUACCCAAAGAAUAAGCACCGGCUAACUUCGU
This 491-nucleotide ribosomal RNA is filed under the name uncultured bacterium. RNAcentral describes it as "partial 16S ribosomal RNA". It matches the Rfam family "Bacterial small subunit ribosomal RNA", at positions 29 to 506 of the family's 1533-position model. The record is from RNAcentral.